This 445-nucleotide ribosomal RNA is filed under the name uncultured bacterium. RNAcentral's name for it is "bacterial SSU rRNA". It matches the Rfam family "Bacterial small subunit ribosomal RNA", at positions 354 to 796 of the family's 1533-position model. The record is from RNAcentral.
GUGAGGAAUAUUGGUCAAUGGACGGAAGUCUGAACCAGCCAUGCCGCGUGCAGGAUGAAUGUGCUAUGCAUUGUAAACUGCUUUUGUACGAGGGUAAACACAGAUACGCGUAUCUGCUUGAAAGUAUCGUACGAAUAAGGAUCGGCUAACUCCGUGCCAGCAGCCGCGGUAAUACGGAGGAUCCGAGCGUUAUCCGGAUUUAUUGGGUUUAAAGGGUGCGUAGGCUGUUUUUUAAGUUAGAGGUGAAAGCUCGACGCUCAACGUCGAAAUUGCCUCUGAUACUGAGAGACUAGAGUGUAGUUGCGGAAGGCGGAAUGUGUGGUGUAGCGGUGAAAUGCUUAGAUAUCACACAGAACACCGAUUGCGAAGGCAGCUUUCCAAGCUAUUACUGACGCUGAGGCACGAAAGCGUGGGGAGCGAACAGGAUUAGAAACCCCAGUAGUCC